UAGGGAAUCUUCCGCAAUGGGCGAAAGCCUGACGGAGCAACGCCGCGUGAGUGAUGAAGGUCUUCGGAUCGUAAAACUCUGUUAUUAGGGAAGAACAAAUGUGUAAGUAACUAUGCACGUCUUGACGGUACCUAAUCAGAAAGCCACGGCUAACUACGUGCCAGCAGCCGCGGUAAUACGUAGGUGGCAAGCGUUAUCCGGAAUUAUUGGGCGUAAAGCGCGCGUAGGCGGUUUUUUAAGUCUGAUGUGAAAGCCCACGGCUCAACCGUGGAGGGUCAUUGGAAACUGGAAAACUGGAGUGCAGAAGAGGAAAGUGGAAUUCCAUGUGUAGCGGUGAAAUGCGCAGAGAUAUGGAGGAACACCAGUGGCGAAGGCGACUUUAUGGUCUGUAACUGACGCUGAUGUGCGAAAGCGUGGGGAUCAAACAGG
RNAcentral lists this ribosomal RNA (429 nucleotides) under Actinomycetes bacterium. RNAcentral describes it as "Actinobacteria bacterium partial 16S ribosomal RNA". It matches the Rfam family "Bacterial small subunit ribosomal RNA", at positions 355 to 776 of the family's 1533-position model. Lineage: Bacteria; Bacillati; Actinomycetota; Actinomycetes. The record is from RNAcentral.